Molecule: ribosomal RNA, 926 nt
Filed under: uncultured Bacteroidota bacterium
Lineage: Bacteria; Pseudomonadati; Bacteroidota
Description: bacterial SSU rRNA
Rfam family: Bacterial small subunit ribosomal RNA
Source: RNAcentral
UGGAUCCAGACUUUGAUUAUGGCUCAGGAUGAACGCUAGCUACAGGCUUAACACAUGCAAGUCGAGGGGAAACGACAUCGAAAGCUUGCUUUUGAUGGGCGUCGACCGGCGCACGGGUGAGUAACGCGUAUCCAACCUGCCCACCACAUGGGGAUAACCUUGCGAAAGUAAGACUAAUACCCAAUGACGUCUCUAGAAGACAUCUGAAAGAGAUUAAAGAUUUAUCGGUGAUGGAUGGGGAUGCGUCUGAUUAGCUUGUUGGCGGGGUAACGGCCCACCAAGGCAACGAUCAGUAGGGGUUCUGAGAGGAAGGUCCCCCACAUUGGAACUGAGACACGGUCCAAACUCCUACGGGAGGCAGCAGUGAGGAAUAUUGGUCAAUGGACGAGAGUCUGAACCAGCCAAGUAGCGUGCAGAAUGACGGCCCUAUGGGUUGUAAACUGCUUUUAUAAGGGAAUAAAGUGAGUCUCGUGAGACUUUUUGCAUGUACCUUAUGAAUAAGGACCGGCUAAUUCCGUGCCAGCAGCCGCGGUAAUACGGAAGGUCCGGGCGUUAUCCGGAUUUAUUGGGUUUAAAGGGAGCGUAGGCCGGAGAUUAAGCGUGUUGUGAAAUGUAGACGCUCAACGUCUGCACUGCAGCGCGAACUGGUUUCCUUGAGUACGCACAAAGUGGGCGGAAUUCGUGGUGUAGCGGUGAAAUGCUUAGAUAUCACGAAGAACUCCGAUUGCGAAGGCAGCUCACUGGAGCGCAACUGACGCUGAAGCUCGAAAGUGCGGGUAUCGAACAGGAUUAGAUACCCUGGUAGUCCGCACGGUAAACGAUGGAUGCCCGCUGUUGGUCUGAAUAGGUCAGCGGCCAAGCGAAAGCAUUAAGCAUCCCACCUGGGGAGUACGCCGGCAACGGUGCAACUCAAAGGAAUUGACGGA